This 5293-nucleotide long non-coding RNA is filed under the name Capsicum annuum. RNAcentral describes it as "long non-coding RNA (CANN_LNC002437)". The record is from RNAcentral. Lineage: Eukaryota; Viridiplantae; Streptophyta; Magnoliopsida; Solanales; Solanaceae.
GCGCUGCUAUGCUUGACAAAAGUGCCCCAAAUUAUCUUGGAUUUUUCCUUUUAUAGAUGAGACAAAAUACUAAAAAGUCUUCCCGAUUUUUCCAAAUUUGGCAAAUCAUAGAAUUCCACUUUUCAGUGAAAUUGUGAAAUACACCCUCACCGCAAUGCGCCACUAUCGCGGUGAGCCACUAGAUUUAGACAAUUAUGAAAUAUCCUUCCUUCGCGAUGCACUAAACUUCCAGGCCGCACAAAUUGGCAAUUGGGCCUGCACCGCGAUGCGGUGAAAUCACAAACCUACACUGGAAAGUGACAAUUAUGACUUCCUUCUUCCCCGUGAUGUGGCAUAAUCACAGACCAAUACUGGAUUUUUCCAAAUGGGAAUUUGAGCCUCUCCGCGAAGCACCACUAUCGCGCUCCUCUACUGAAAUUUGACCAAUGUCAUUUUGGUGGUCGGCACGAUGCGGAGACUCUGUAAAUGAGAAUUUAUGACUUUCAGCUUGCCUUUUUGAGCUAUAUUUCAAUACCUUUUAUCCUUCAAUCAUUCCAUAUCAUCACUGUAUCCAAUUGCAUCCAAUUCUUCAAGAUUUUAGCCUGAAAGCACUAAUCAUAUCCAUUAGGCAAGAAAUAGAAUUAAAACUGAAAUAUACUCAAGAAUUUACAUCAAAGUUCUCAAAAUAAGUCCAAAUCUGGGUGUAUAUUGGUGCUUUGAACAUAUAAAUAUGCCCAAGAUCACCACCCUACACUUAAAACCUUGUUUCUCCUGGAACAAUUUAAUUCAAAAGCACAAUCACUUCCUCUUUACACCACAAUCUUAAAGUUAUGUUGCAAUGGGUACUUACACUUUGCAAUAUUAUAUCUCACACAAACAUGUCAUAACACUUUUAGCACAUGAGAUAAGUUAUUUCAAAUUUUUCUAUCUUAACAAUGAAUUUCCAAUAUAUCGGUGAACUCAAUUUAAGUACUCAAUAUAGAAACACAACAAGUACCCCGACUUUCAUCCGCAUGCAUCAUCUCUCAAAGAAAGCUUCUCUAUACUUAACCCACAAUAAUAUCAAUGCACAAAUAAGGGGAGUAUCAAAAUCAAUUCUCUCUCUCUCAACAAAGAAUUUAUACAUUUUAGUUAAUAAACCAUAAGCUUGCGUUUAGUGUACUACUCAACUAAUAGUUGGAUGUUGGGAUGGACGAUCAACUAGGUAUUUUUGGGUUUUAAUAAAGGCUAGGGGAUGGGUAGGCGCUAUUUGGGAAAUAGUGACUAUCGCACCUAAGCGCUUUAAUAUAAUGACUAUCAAUUACAACAUUUUUUAACACCCCAAUUACAUUACUAUUAUCUCUCCAUUCUUUUAUUUUUCACCCCCCUUUUUCAUUUAGCUUAUUCACUAAAACCAUGGUAGGAGUAUUAAAUUUUUCCUAAAAAAUUCUUUCCUUUUUUCAGACCAAUUUUAUGCUAGCAUCCCUAUUAUAGCCACCCCAACUUAAGCAACUUGCUUUCGUUAAGGUGCACAAUAUCCAAAAUAGACCAGGGCCAAAAUAGGUUCAUUGUAAUAUUUCGGGCUCAAAUUAGAAACUUUUUAAAGAACAAUUCCUUCUUUAAUAACUCCCAACCAUACUACAGACUUUCAAAAUCAAUAUCCCUACUUUGGGGCUUCAAUUUCACCUUUUCUUUCUUAUUUUUCAAAAUCCUAACUUCUCUUAAUUUUAUACUAAAAUGCUUAGGAGCUUAUUUGGAUCAAAUUAAGAUUUAUCAAAGAAAGAAUAGGGCUAUAUAUACGGCUACCAAAGAAUAGGCUAAAUAUGCAAUGGGGCUGACUAGGACUAUGCACAAGGGUAGGUAUAUUUAGGCUAAAAACAUGGCUGUCAAAGAAAUGCUUACAUCACUUCGUACACCCAACACCUUUAUUUCCCUUUAUAAACACACCGGACAAGUUCUAGAUAUUCUUAUACAUGUAGAAUAUAAGCAAAUCUUCACACACAUAAUUCAUGCAUGAAAUUAAAUUGAGUCCUUAAGGUUCCCAAUCUUGUCCUUUAUUGAAUUCAAAAUUAAGCUAACAUAUCAAAUUUUACCUAUCGAGAUUAAACCAUUUGUACUUAAAUCCCUUCUUAAAAUCAAGACACUUUUAUGUUUUAAACUCCAAUUUAGUUCAAAUUACUGUAAAGAUGAUCCACUCCAUACAUUCCUCUAAGAUAGUGAUUAGGUUCUUGUUUAUUAUUUACUUCUUAUGACCCACUCCCCGUAAGACGAUCAUCAUCCAUCUAUCAUAGGGGAGGGAAACUAACUAUGACUAUUUAUUUUGAAUUGCCAAAAAGGGCAAAAAUAAAUACUUGAAACUCAAAUUUGCAUUGAGGCAAAAAUGAUAAUAAAAACAAAUACUUUGAACUAACAACAACAUGCGAUAAAUGCCAAAGAGGGAAAAAUUGCAAUCCACAAAUUUACUAAUUAUUACAGACCAAUGUUAUGAAUAGCUAGAACUUGCGAAAACUAACAAAAUAGAAAAAUAAAAAUUGUUCAGCCAGAAAGAAAUAACAUGAAGCAGCAAAAGACGAACCCACCACCCCUCACUUAAAUAAAGAAUUGUCCAAGUGCUUUCACAUAAGCAUAUGGUAGGGUGGAAGCAUACUCCCUGGACACUCAAACGGAACUAUGGUAGUCAUUUCAUCAGUAGUCCCACCCACAUCAUCGCCAUCAUCAUUAGCUCUAUCAUCAGACUGGUCCUCUUCAUCUGAGUCCCUAUAUUUAUGCCUAUCAUCAGUAGGAAUGUCAUUGUCAGCAGGCUUCAUAAAGUCUGGUUCAAUUCGCAAAAAGGUUUUAGCAUGAUGCCCAAGGGGGUAAUCUAAAUCAAUAGCUCAAAGCUCCUCAAGUGUGGUUGGUCUGCCCCUAAUAUUCAGCUGUAAUAUUUGAAGACAAUACAUUCUAGCUAAAAUCUUAUCAGCUUGGGUCUGGUGCUCAACCAUGGUCAAAAUUGGGCCACUUUCCCCAGAUGCGCUCCUGGCUAUAAGUGAUAUCCAUAGGGUGAGUCAAAACAUUGGGCUUAUAGGCCAGCUCCUCCUCAUCUACCCUGUGACUUUGAAGAAAUUGGGUCACCAAUCCUCUAAAACCAAAACUGUGCCCCACUUAGGUGGACACCUUCUUUAUAGAAGAAAAAAUUGCACACCCCACAUUAACAUCAACAUCAUCACACAUCAGCGCAUAAAUCAAACAUACUCGGUCCCUAGUAACCUCCAUCAUAUACUUGCCUUGAAUCAAGCAAAAGUAGAAAAUGCAACCCCAUAUCUUGGCCUCUUUGUUCAUAUGAGCAUAAAGAAAAGACGAAUGUAGGCUAGUGACACGAUACCUAGUCCAAUGAGCUAAGGAACGUACCCCGCACAAUAAAUGCCUAAUGUAAGCAUACGAGGGAGUGACAAUGAACUGCCUCAAGAAGUUUGGGCUUACCUCUGAUAUACCCAACAACUCAUUAAUAUCUGCAGCAGUGAACCGAAUUACCUUCCCAUGAAUCUUCAACUCAUGAUCAGUGUCACUUGGGUCCAGUUGGCGUAAAACUCAUGAACUAAGUGCAGAUUGCACUCAAUAGGUUAAUGAAAGGUAAAAUUCAUAUUUAUUGCCUCAAUUCAUCGUACCAUGGAUGGGCAUUCCCUUAGUAAGCUUGCCCGAUCGAUGAACACCUCGGGGAUGUAUUUGGCAUCAGUAUGCUUUGAGUACAACUAUUUUCUAGAUUUGGUAACAACCUUAAAUCUAAAUUUUUGAACCUGCCCACAUUGAAGUGGUGGAGCCUGAGGUACCCUAGUGAGUUGGCUUUCAGACGGCCUGCUCCAUUUCCUUGCCGGUGCAGAAUUACUGGCCUUUGCCUUUUCUUUGAUUGGUUGAGGCUCCAUAAUACUUGUAUGAAACCACAGAUUCAACAAACAAUUAAGUAGGUGAAAUAGAGGUGGACCUAGCUUCAACUGAGUGGGGAACAGGGGUAAAUGACCACCCUAUACUUUUUUGUUAGCUAUGGCACAUUCAUCAAAAUAUAGGGUACUCAGACUUCCACUUUGUAACACCAUUAGCACAUGUAAAUAUGUCAUAUUUCUCGUAGGGACAACUAUCAGAUAAGCUAAAGUAAACCAAGAUGAUACAUAUAUGCAUUACUCCUGCUGUUUCAUUUACAUGUAAAGUACCCUGCUUAGUGUUGUGGUACCACCUAUUCUGAAGCCAUUACCCUAUAGUCCCUAUGGCAAUUCAUCACAGCUGACCAUAAUAACGACCCCCUCACACAUAACAUAUGUCCUAGUCCCACAUUUGUACCAACUACAGGGUAAUCAAAUUAGUUACAGCACAAACAUGAAGUUCAGUUCUAAUUAAUUCUAAGCAAAGAUGGGACAGAUAGCUGAAUUAACACCUAUAAAAUUAAGUCGAUAGUCAUUCUCUCGGUAAAAAGUAUUUUCAUAGAUAUUCAAAUAAAAUUACUAAGGAAGAGAAUAUGAACAUUACUAAUUCGAUGAAGCAUUUCGUAUAUAGGGGUAUUCACAUAAAAUUUGACUGAAUCAACGAAAUAUGACAACAUUCCAAAAUUAAGGUGCUCCAAUGCAAGAGAAAUUAGAAGCACAUUGAAACCACAAGAACCAGCCCUCCUUUUUUGCACAUUGAUGCGCAUCACAUAUCCUCAAAUCAGUGAAAAUUCCAUAAUAAUAAGUGAAAUUUACCCCAUGAUUAGCAAAUCAGACAGUGUAUAUACACAACCAAAACAUAAAGUAUAAUCAACAAGAUUUCAUCCUAAGAACCCAAAAUUGAAAACCCCUAAUUUCUAAACCUCAUUGCUUCACACAUCUAGUGGCAACACCUCUAUGCCCACACAUCUCUCAACAGUUAAUAGACCAAAGUAGUAAAAAAAAAUCUCCCAAAUCAAAUAUGAAUAUACCUUGUACUCUACCUAUUCCUCCGUCAGCUUACCCAUUAAUCAAAUAAUCAUAAGAUUAUGAAGACUAUGAUGAAGGAAUCACAAAAAUUUCAAGAAAAUCGGAGUAUACAGCGCUAUAAUGUACAAGCAUAAAACAAUAAAACCACAUCAUGCCUAGGAGUAUCAAAAUUCUUAAAAUAACAAAAGAAAAAUUGAAGUCUAUAAGCACUUAACUCAAUAGUUGAGAGAAGGAUGAAAAAUUGAGGGAAUUUUGAGAGAAUUAGUUGGUGUAUGGGGAUGGGAGGAGGCGCUAAAGAAUAAAAAUAAAGGGGUUUAGGGUUUAGAGGGGUAUAUAUAGAGGGGCGGGUCGGGGUAGGUUAAUUUAAAAUUUUAUGUCUGAUUUUUACCCUCUCCACGAUGCGAUGGUAUCAC